AACAUUUUUAUUUACUUCAUCAAUCUUUUAUCUGUGUCUUGUUUAAUUAUUGUGUAGUUUUGCCUGUUAAGCGUUUGAUUAUUAGAUAGAUUUGUUUAGUACUUUAUUUGUUUGUAUAACUUAGUUUUCAUUAGUUUAUUGCCAUAGUUCGUUAUCUUAGAAUUAGUUAGUUUUUAAGGCCUAGUAGAGUUUUAUAGUAGAAUUUAGUUAUAAUGGAUAGCAAUUGCUACAUUUGCGGACGUUCGGUAGAGGAAGUGGUUAAAUUAUUUUCUUUUCCAUUAAAUAUCAAUAAGUAAAUUUAUAAAUUUAAGUUAGAUAGAUUUUUUGUACUAAAUGAAAAUUUACUUUGAUACUUUAGACAGCGAUUAUGGAAUGAGUGUCUUGGUGUACCAGCAGAAAACACGUACUCUAGACGUAUGAGAAUUUGCAACAAUCACUUUACAAUGGAAAGCUUUAUGUUGAAUAGGACCCCCUUGACCUUAAAAAGAGAUGCAAAGCCUUUAAGAGUGAUCAUGAAUGUAAAUUCCAAUUUCUUACUUCUAAUUGCUUCUAUUUACUUUUAGAAUGAAAUUUACAGUUCUAAUUACAUUUUCUUUAUUCAGGAAGCACACAUUGUAACGAGUGAACCGCUUAGACAGCCUGAACUGGAGCAAAAUAAUUUAACGGAUUCUGUCAUAGAGUUAAAUAUAACAAAAGACGCUGCCAUACCUUCCUCCGCUACAAAUCCAACAACAGAGUCAGUAUUUAAGAAGAGCCAGUUUAGUGCAACAAUCAAAGAAAAAUCACUGCGACGAAUUUUAAAGAAAAACAGAUCCGGAGACUUAAAAAGAAUUAUGAAAAUAAAACUACAUUACUGAGAGAUAUGUUAAGCACACCAGAAUCUUUUACUCAGGUUUUUAAAGGUAAUAGUAUUUACUUUCCAAUUAUUUAAUCACGAAUUGAGGCAACAUGUUUAAGUCUUAGUUGUGAUCAUAGUUAAAGUAAUGUAAUCGUGAUUAAUAAUAAUAAUAACAAUAAGAUAAAUGACGAACUAAGAACUUAAAAUUAUGACUAAGACUAAUACAUGUUACAUGAAUCUAACAUAAUACAAGCUGAGUUAAGUAAAUGUGUUGUCAAAUUUUAAACACAACACAUUUAAACAAAAUGCAAGCAACUUUUCCACUGUAAUUGUUUGUACAGAUAAGAAAAUUUCCUUCAGAAUGCAGGUCAGGACGCUUCAGCUUUCAGACAUUGCUGUUUACUUAAAUAAAUAGUUUGUUAUUUUUUAUCAGUUGUCUUUUAUAACUUAUCAUGUUUAAUAAAAUUGCUUUGUUUUAAUUCUUGUCUUGGUCGCUUUGUUACUUUAUUCUACUUGCUGAAAUAUUGUUCCUUUUCGCUUUGUUUUAAUUCUCGUCUUGGUCGCUAUGUUAUACAUCAUUUAUUCUGUUCGCUGAAAUAUUGUUCUAAUUGAUACGAACAGAAACAAAUAAAAAGAAAUAUUACAGUUUAUAUCAAUUCUAUGUUAUAAUUUAUUCUGCUCGCUGAAAUAUUGUUCUAAUUGAUACGAACAGAAACAAAUAAAAAGAAAUAUUACAGUUAUAUAUUCCAUACAGUUAUAUAAAUAACAUUUUAUCAUUAAUUCUGUCUACUGCUCGUUUUUGCUGUAAUACUUUUAAUUUUAGUCGCUUUGUAGAAUUUUUUUAUUCUGGCUGUCUUAAAUCUGUUGUUUGCAAUUGUAAUUUGUAUUCCUAAAUUUGUCUAGAAAUUUAUUUGACUUAUGGUAUGCUAGAGUUUUUCAUGGGUUUUCCUCUAGCCUUGAAGAAAAUGCUUUACCAUUGUACAAAAACGCCCCCAUGAGCAUGAAAACGAUUAAAUGUAAAUAUUUGUCUAUAAAUAUACAUAGAUUUGUUCUUCUGAA
RNAcentral lists this long non-coding RNA (1897 nucleotides) under Onthophagus taurus. RNAcentral's name for it is "uncharacterized LOC111416828, transcript variant X1". The record is from RNAcentral. Lineage: Eukaryota; Metazoa; Arthropoda; Insecta; Coleoptera; Scarabaeidae.